AACGAACGCUAGCGGCAUGCCUCAAACAUGCAAGUCGUACGCGAACGGAGCUUCGGCUCUUAGUAGAGUGGCGCACGGGUGCGUAACACGUAACUAACGUACCCUCUCGCUGGGGAUAACUUCGGGAAACCGAAGCUAAUACCGAAUGAUCUGUAGCGGUCUGCGGACUGCUCCGGUAAAGCCUUCGGGCGCGAGAGGAUCGGGUUGCGUCCCAUUAGCUAGUUGGCGGGGUAACAGCCCACCAAGGCUACGAUGGGUAGCUGGUCUGAGAGGAUGAUCAGCCACACUGGAACUGAAACACGGUCCAGACUCCCACGGGAGGCAGCAGUUGGGAAUAUUGGACAAUGGGGGAAACCCUGAUCCAGCAAUGCCGCGUGAGUGAUGAAGGCCUUCGGGUCGUAAAGCUCUUUUAGCAGGGACGAAGGGCAACUUGACGGUACCUGCAGAAAAAGCACCGGCUAACUCUGUG
Molecule: ribosomal RNA, 469 nt
Filed under: uncultured organism
Description: bacterial SSU rRNA
Rfam family: Bacterial small subunit ribosomal RNA
Source: RNAcentral